RNAcentral lists this long non-coding RNA (2179 nucleotides) under Sus scrofa (pig). Its description in RNAcentral is "lncRNA (ENSSSCG00050015227.1)". The record is from RNAcentral. Lineage: Eukaryota; Metazoa; Chordata; Mammalia; Artiodactyla; Suidae.
GGUCUGCUAUUUUCCAGUCACACUCUGAGGUCUGAUUGUCAGCUUUAUGUCUCAGAAAGUAUUCCUCGCAAUUCAGGCCACGCCAGCAUGUGAAUGAAACAGACAGUGGCAGAGCUCCUAGGCAACCUUUACAUAAUCCUCCCUGUGCUGUCUCCUUCUUGGGCACACCGUUACCCUACUGGAGCAGGAUAUGAGGUAAGGGAAAAGAGCAGAAGAAUAAUCUAAGCUGUGGAAUAUGAAAGGAAGGAAUAGGAGGGAAAAAGAGGAAGGAGGGAGAGUGGAACAAGAAGUCAGUGUUUGUUUAAGGUUUGUCAUACCCCGAGGACUGUGCUAGAUGCUUUAGACAUGUGAUCUCCUUUCAUUCUGUGUGUGUGCGCGCGCGCGUGUAAUGUGAGAACCUCCUUAGCAAGUACUUCGUGAGCUCUCUUUGGAGAGUAAAUGGAUAUUUUGGAGAUGGGAGAAGAUAUACUCAUUCUCAGGUGUUUUGUACUGUUGCUUCCCAGUUGUUGGCAGGAACAUUUAAUGAUACUCUUGGAUCUCAAGUAUCGGUUUUAAAAUAAUAGUGGUAGUAGUAACAUAUUUAUUCUCACUUCAGAUUUAACUGCAAGUGAAAGAGAGACUGAGAAUUAAUUGUACCCAUCAAUUCAUUGUCAGUCUUGGAAAGAAUUCAGCUAGAGCCCACAAUGUGUAAAGAAGUGUACUUGGUACUGCUGUAGGUACACAUAGUUACCAUAUGCAUGAGUGCCAGAAUCCAUUUUACUAGAUCUAAAAUCUGUAUUUCUGAAAAUAAAGUUAACUACGUAGUCUGGGAAGUGCAGCACUGAGGAAAUGAAAUUUGAUCAGGGUAUUGAUGAUGGCAUAUAGAUGGACAGAGCAGAGAGAAGGAAAGCACUCCAGUCAGACAGAGGAAAACCCAAUUCCAAAGUCGGUGGAGAUGCUUUGGCAAGGCUAGUUUGGAAUCACUUGGGAAGGAUGGGUCUGUGCUAUAGUCUACAUUUAAAAAUGUACCAAGUCAAUGUAGCAAGCUCAUUAUUAUUUUCUAAAUGUGACUUUAUAAUACAGAACCCAGUAAGGGAAAUUUCUUAUUUGCUCUUUACAGAAGAAGUAGCACUGAAGCAAAGGCUUACAAGUUGCGAGUCAUCCUUUGGAAUCUUGGAACCUAUUUCCAAAGCUUUAUAAUGCACACCAAAAAAAAUCUGAUACUAAAGGGUUUGAUAUGAUUAGCUGAAGAACCUGCUUGGAACGGCUCCCUUCCACAUAGUAAGACUAAGUGUGAUCUUGUUCUUGCUUUAAUGAAGAAAUAGCAUGAUAAUGCAGCAAACACAAAAAGCACAUAGUGUUUUUCAGUAUCACCCUUGCAAAAAUCAAUUUUUUUCCUAGUUCUUAUACAUACAGCAUAAAUUGCACAGAAAUGUCAUGAUGGUAUAGGUACUGUUCUGAAUCUUGCUUUUUACUUUUAAUCACAGGCCUAUCAUUUUUUUCCCAUAUUGCCACAUAAUUUUAAAAAUUUUACUUUUUAAUGGCUGUAUAAUAAUUUAAUGGGUAUAUUAUACGAAAGCAUUUGGCUAUCAUUGGAAAUUUUAGUUGUUACUUAUACAGCAGUGAAUGUCAAUGCAAAUAGCCUUUCCUUUAUUAUUCCAUGAUGAUGCAUUCUGAUGUUUGGGAUUCCUAGGUCAAAGAAUAAGGAAAUUUAAAGGAUCAUAAUAUGAAUUGAUAAAUAACUUCCCAAAACAUUGUGCUGAUUUGUAAUAUCAGCAACAAUGUGCAUUAGCUUCACUGGAUUAUGCCAGCACUGAACAUUGUUUUUGGAAUUUUAUUGGCUGACUUUAUAGGUAUGAAAUAUUGCUUCAUUGUUUUAACAUAAAUUUAAUUGAUGAUUAGUGUGGUCGAAUAGUUCUCUAUGUGUUUACUUCUAAGUCAGAUUUUUUUUCUUAUCAGUUGAUGCUCCUAGCCUUUGCCUGUUUAUAUGUUAAGAUCUUAAAACAGUUACUUUCUAAAAAAUUUCCUGCAAUGGUUUAAAUGAUUUUUAAAUUUCUAUCUUAAAAGGAAAUUCACAUUUCUGAUGAGUCAUUCACUAAGUUCUAAGACUAUCAUGAUCAUCUGUCAGUAUUGCCAGAUCAACUUGUAUUAAAAAGAGAUUCUAGGGGAAAAAAGAUACUAGAAAACCCCUUUCUGUGUA